CGUAUGUCGCAAGCGUUAUCCGGAAUUAUUGGGCUUAAAGGGCAUCUAGGCGGUUUUUCAAGUCAGGGGUGAAAACUUAUGGCUCAACUAUAAGCUUGCCUUUGAAACUGAAAGACUAGAGUACUGGAAAAGGUGGGUGGAACUACACGAGUAGAGGUGAAAUUCGUAGAUAUGUGUAGGAAUGCCGAUGAUGAAGAUAACUCACUGGACAGAAACUGACGCUGAAGUGCGAAAGCUAGGGGGAGCAAACAGGAUU
This 256-nucleotide ribosomal RNA is filed under the name uncultured bacterium. RNAcentral's name for it is "partial 16S ribosomal RNA". It matches the Rfam family "Bacterial small subunit ribosomal RNA", at positions 526 to 779 of the family's 1533-position model. The record is from RNAcentral.